UCCACGUUAGCGGUGACGAGCGCGUCGGCCUGUUGGGGCGUUAUGGGCGUGACGAGCGCCGGCUGUUGGGCCACCGCUGCCGGCGUUGGUGGGCCUCCCGCCGGGAAUUGGCCCAUCAUCGACUCCAUCUGGGUCUGCUGUACGAUGGCGUUGACCAGCGGGCUCGCCACCUCGCGCGCCGCCGUCGCGAUGACCUCGUCGACCCUCUGCUGGCCCUCGCGGAUGAGCGGAUCGUCCGAGGGUUCAGGCGACAACAUCUCGCGCUCGAGUUCCUCGAUGGUCAUCGCGCCGCCUCCCUGAGCGCGGAUUUGGUUGGCGAUCGCAGUGAGUGGGUCGACGGAAACGUUGGACGCCUCGACGGCGGCCUGGCCCAGCCCGCGCGCCGCCGCCGGGGUGAGAGCCACAAAGGGCGCAGCGGCUCCGGGCUGCGGCGGUGCCGCGGGCAACAGCACGGCGUUGGAGAUGGCGGGCGGGGCACCGGCGAUAUUGACGCCCACCAUGUAGUGUUCGUGCUCGUACUGUGUGGUAAGGGCGAGGCUGCGCAGGCCCUCGCUCAAGCGGCCGGCUGCGGUGCCCGGACCGCGCCGCCGCUCCUGUUCCAUGCGCUCAAACAGGCGCCUGGUGAAGCCGCCCCAGCGCUCGUUGAUGGCCUCGGCGCAGAUGCUGUACCGCGCCGGACCCAUCUCGCCGUCGGGGUAUUCGACCUGCACGUCAGGCGGCGCGUUGGGAUCCUGACCGGCGUUUCGAAAGAAAUCAAUCAUCUGCUGCGCGCUGAUCGGGCCGGGCGUAGCCGACGCCAGGCGCACCUCGCGCUCAAUGCGCUGGUACUCUUCUUCGUAGGACUCGGGCGGUAUGUUAAACUCCCCGAGGGUGCUCUCAAUGUCGGCAAAGAGGGCCGCCUCCUCUUCGGGGGUCAGCUGCGGGGGGACGCCUGCCGCGCCCGGCGCGCCGAGACGAGGUCCAAAUGUGGCAGGCGGCUGUGCGGUCAGCGGCGGCACCUGCCCGACACCCGGCGGCCUCGGCGCCAACCGCGGCAGCGCAGUGCGUUGUUCUCGCGGAGGGCGAAUGGGUGCCGUGCUCACAGAGCGCGCGGCCCCUGUCGUGGCCGCACGACCUCCGCGUGUGCCGACGACCGGGGUCGGGGGACCUCGUGGCCCCUGUUGCUGCGCCUGUUGCGCACGACGCGCUGCCUCGGCAAUGUUGACGUUCAUGUCGAUGAGUGAUUAUCUACCGGUGACGACGCUCCGUGUCGCCUCGCCUUGGGUGUUGUCUACGCCUCUUUGGCUCUGGCACCUGUUGCUUUUUUUACCUUGGCUUGUCUCUGUUUUCUGGGCGAGACGGUCGGUCUGCAGACGGCGCGCGCGGAUGCCGUCGACGUUGAUGUGCUUUGGCUGGAGCGAGAGGAAAAAAAGAGAGACAGAGGAAAAGGAGCGCCGAGGUGGAGACGCACGCAGGAGGGGAAGGGCUGGCCCUGUUUCCUUCGUGGCUACGCCGGAAUGAGCCGCGCGCCGUCUCGACACGACGCUUGCCACAGUGCUCCGGACCGUGCGCGCUUUGGGAUGAUGGUGCGCGCACGACCGGAGCGCCUUCGCCCCUACGGUGCGCCGUGUCGGUUUUUCUCCUCUAUGACGCCCACCAGAGAAAAGAAGCGCACUUUCCUUUUCUUAUUUUUUUUCGGCCAUGCACGCCGCAGCGCGCCAACAACCAAAAGGGAAAAGAAACAAGCGCGUAUCUCUC
RNAcentral lists this long non-coding RNA (1737 nucleotides) under Pandoravirus neocaledonia. RNAcentral's name for it is "hypothetical ncRNA". The record is from RNAcentral.